Molecule: ribosomal RNA, 327 nt
Filed under: uncultured eukaryote
Lineage: Eukaryota
Description: partial 18S ribosomal RNA
Rfam family: Eukaryotic small subunit ribosomal RNA
Source: RNAcentral
CCCUUAGAUGUUCUGGGCCGCACGCGCGCUACACUGACGAAUGCAACGAGCUUAUAACCUUGGCCGAAAGGUCUGGGUAAUCUCCAAAUUUCGUCGUGAUGGGGAUAGAUUAUUGCAAUUAUUAAUCUUCAACGAGGAAUGCCUAGUAAGCGCAAGUCAUCAGCUUGCGUUGAUUACGUCCCUGCCCUUUGUACACACCGCCCGUCGCUCCUACCGAUUGAAUGGUCCGGUGAAGCGUUCGGACCGUGGCCUUUGGACGGUUCGCCGUCUGUUGGCUGCGGGAAGUUCGUUAAACCUUAUCGCUUAGAGGAAGGAGAANUCGUAACA